GUCUCGAGUGUGAGCGAGUGGAACUGGUGGUGGACGCUGAGAAAGUCCGAGGUCUCACAGCCGUAAACAACGCCCGGACGGCUACAGGAAGCACACACUUCCGGGUCUAUUCAAUCCCUCUGUUGACCCUUGAUCACGUCACAAUCCCAGAAUCCAUCACGACUAUCCCAGCAUCCGUCACAUCAAUGUCCGGUCCGCCUCCAUAAAAUGUCCAUCCUUUCUCCCUUCAGUGUCUUUUGAUUUCUUGUAUGAAACGACUGACAAAACUUUUUGUUACAGUAUACGGGGCUAAAACCCCAAACCU
Long non-coding RNA from Polypterus senegalus (gray bichir), 304 nucleotides. RefSeq lists it as uncharacterized. The record is from RefSeq and is a predicted model, not a curated record. Lineage: Eukaryota; Metazoa; Chordata; Cladistia; Polypteriformes; Polypteridae. The transcript has 2 exons.